CCCGCCAAUACUCGCACGCACGACGUGCAUACUCUGAUGGCACGCAACGGCGCGGGGGCAGGUCGUUUCAACAUCGAGACGCUGCAAAUCUAAACGAGCCUUGGAAUGUUGCUGUGCGAUGCCUUGAUGUUACCAAAAAUCAAUAACAGAGAAAGUCUUCAAGGAUCAAAUUUAGCACUAGACCACAGAGGCGGUUAAAACUCAGUAUCAUCUUGACAGGAUAGCUGCCAAGACACUGAUUUUCAGUAGGUGCCUUGUAAGCAGGGAUACUGAUGGGAUUCAUCAAGAAAAAGAAGUCAUAGUUAUUGCAGUUCCAUCGUAACACCGAAAGCAUCCAAGCAUCCCGAGAGCAAAAUGGGAACUACGAGCAGCGUUCUCAAUGCCGGAACGGCCCGCCAAUACCCGCACGCACGACGUGCAUACUCUGAUGGCACGCAACGGCGCGGGGGCAGGUCGUUUCAACAUCGAGACGCUGCAAAUCUAAACGAGUCUCGGAAUGUUGCUGUGCGAUGCCUUGAUGUUACCAAAAAUCAAUAACAGAGAAAGGCUUUUUUCUUAGUAUUUUAAAGUAUAAUGAUGUUCAAUUAAUUAAAAGGAUGA
Molecule: long non-coding RNA, 600 nt
Organism: Ostrinia nubilalis (European corn borer)
Lineage: Eukaryota; Metazoa; Arthropoda; Insecta; Lepidoptera; Crambidae
Exons: 4
Source: RefSeq, a predicted model, not a curated record